GGGGAGUACGGCCGCAAGGUUAAAACUCAAAUGAAUUGACGGGGGCCCGCACAAGCGGUGGAGCAUGUGGUUUAAUUCGAUGCAACGCGAAGAACCUUACCUGGUCUUGACAUCCACAGAACUUUCCAGAGAUGGAUUGGUGCCUUCGGGAACUGUGAGACAGGUGCUGCAUGGCUGUCGUCAGCUCGUGUUGUGAAAUGUUGGGUUAAGUCCCGCAACGAGCGCAACCCUUAUCCUU
This 238-nucleotide ribosomal RNA is filed under the name Klebsiella pneumoniae. RNAcentral describes it as "partial 16S ribosomal RNA". It matches the Rfam family "Bacterial small subunit ribosomal RNA", at positions 875 to 1112 of the family's 1533-position model. The record is from RNAcentral. Lineage: Bacteria; Pseudomonadati; Pseudomonadota; Gammaproteobacteria; Enterobacterales; Enterobacteriaceae.